CACAGCUGGGAAACAAGAGAGCUGGCAUUCAAAUCCACGCACUCCAGCUUCAGUGCUCGAACCUCAGAGUGCUCUCCAUGAAGAGCAUGUUUCCUUUCCCUCAGUAGAGGGAGAGAGCGCUAGAUGACACAACUGUUAAAACCGUAUAAUAACCACGUGAAUACCUUGCUAGGAUGCCCUGCAGUCUUUGGAAGGACAGGGGCAAGUGAAGAAACCUGAAGCUGAAGCUCCAUUAGCUUUGUGGCGAGUCAACCCUGGUCAAGGUUGGAGGUGGGGCUCAGAAGAACUAAACCAACAGAUACUUCCAGCUGUACACACUCAUCCCAGCCAGCGACACCCACUCUUCAGGUCCAUGGUCCCAGGCCGCAGCAAAGUUCUGAGACUAAGGUGAGAAUAAGGUGAAAUUAUGCACAUUUUCUGUUUGUGUGUAGAGAAAGAGAGAAACAACUUCCUCAACCCGAGAUGAGGUUGUCUCUGGGCGACUAGCCAUCUGGUUCACCAAAACAAGAUUUUCUCUGAUUUUGCAUGUAAGCUGUUUUUGUUUGUCUUUUUUACCACUUUGGUCCUAAAGGGUUUAUUUUCUGUUACCCACUCCCCACAGAACCUCUGCAUUCUGGGAUGGAAUGUAGGGUGAUGGAAUCCUUAGAGGUGGGUGAGAGGAAUCCCACUGGGCCCCCCAGCAUGGCCUGGGGCCUUCCUGGGCUUGGCAGUGGUUAAGAGUGUGAGCACCAGAACCAAACAGCUGGGCUCUGACACUGACUCCCUCCAACCAUAGUCCCGGGACAAACUCACCCCUCCGUUCUUCCCAUUCUGUAUCAGUAGAGCAGAGGAAAAGUGAUGAGCAGCACGUGGGAGUUGUGGGAAUUGAGUCGUUGCCGCUCAAGUGCUUGUACAGGGCCUAGCACUUCGUAACUGCUCACUGCGGGAAAGGGAACAGGUUUAUUAAGGGUUUGAUGAACAGAACUGGAGGAAAUUGGGAGGGGGCAAGGGCCCUGUCCUUAUGCCAGGAACUCCUCCCUUCCUUUCUUCUCCAGGCCUCACUGGGAGCUGCACCCUCUGCUCCUCUGGCCUGGGAAAGAGCCAGAUGUCUUGUCUCCUGUUUCCCAUCAGAGAGGGUUUCCUCUGGCUCCAACGCCUUCCUUGCAGUGUAUGAGGCGGCUUUACCUGCCUCAAAGGUCAGCUAGCAAACACCUAGAGAGUAUUCUAGACAGACCCUGGCUGCAAUUCCCAGGCUUUCCCUGCUAAAUCUGGCAGAAUCUGCCCUGGGGUGUGCCAAAUGUCAAUCACAAGAAGGACAGGUCACACUGCUUCUUCCGAGAAGCCUCUCUAGAUUUCACCGCCCUGCCUUGAACUCUGCCCAUAUCCUGUGUCUCCUGUAACCCUGGGCUCAGCUUGUCCAAAAGCUGUUCCCUGCUAACCAUGGCUAGUGUGCUUCUCGAAUUGUGAGCCAAAAGCAAAUGUUCAAAAGCACAACCAGAGAUUUAUAUGGCAUAGGGGUGUAUUUUCCCAGAGAGCUAAAAAAAGAUUGUAAAAUCGUAAUUAUAUCCACAUUUUAUGCAUAAUUUUUGCAAUAUACUAACCAUAUUUUGAACAUGUUCAUUCAUUUACUUCUGCUACAAUUCAACAUGCAGUCACUCAACAGAUAUCUGUUGAGCACCUCCUAGGUACCAGACACCAUUCCAGGUAUUCAGAAUAUAUCCCUCGUGGGGCGCACAAUCUAAUAACAGAAGGAGAUGGAUAAUGAAAACUUCACAUCAUAAAUGUUAGAUGGUGAUAAGUGCUAUGGGGAGGAAACAAAGGGAGACAAAAGCAGAGCCCAAGAGAGAAGAUCCAGAAUGCAGGUGGAGGGUAGAGUGCAGGUUGCAAUUUAAAACAGGAGGAUCAGGGAAAGCCUCAUUGAUACACUAAGAUUUGAGCAAUGACUUGGAAAGGAGGUGAGGGAUGAGCCGCGUGGAAAUCAAGGAAAGGGCAUUCUGGGUACAGGGCCCUAAGGCGCGAACGUGCCUGGCAUGCAUCUGAACACAGCUUAAUUCUGGUGAGCAUCUGAUUGUGGCUUCUUUGGUCUUCCUUGGGCGUGCCUAAGGACUCCUAUCUUUGUCUCAUUUAUAUUAAGUUCAUGAGAUCUGUGCUUUCUACUCCAGCUUUCCACUCAUCUUUAUAAAACAGUAAGGACAAAAUUAAAUGAAAUGUGCAAAAUAACUGCACAAACUCUGUGCUGGGUGCCUGGUGACGCGGAACCGUCGGCUGGCACGCUGCGCCCCCACGUGGAAGCUUGCAAGGACUGUGUUCUGGACAAGGACCUCCUGAGGCACCCAUGCUGCAGUUCCCAGAGGCUUAAGGACGGCUGCGGGACGUGUGGGCGUCUGGGUUGAGAUGGAGAAAACAUAGCAUGCUGGAGCAGAAGGGAGAUUGAGGAGAAGAAUCUGGACCAGCAAAGAAAAAGAAUUCCAAUUUUCCUUCCCUCAAGGACAACCUGCCCAUAGAUAAGCGCCUUGAGACCAAAGCCCAUUAUGGUUGCUGCCAGGCAGCUUGGAGACACAGGAAUGGCCUCCCAACAUCCCUGACCUCGGUUUUUGAUACCUUUGUAAAUGAUAUCCCUAAUCUGUCUGCUCCUGAAAUCCCUACCUCGUUUUUAAAAUGUUUUCCUAAAA
This 2651-nucleotide long non-coding RNA is filed under the name Homo sapiens (human). RNAcentral describes it as "HSALNT0366348". Lineage: Eukaryota; Metazoa; Chordata; Mammalia; Primates; Hominidae. The record is from RNAcentral.